AUGUGCUGGAAUGUCCGAGGGCUCAACUCGCCGGCCCGGCGAGCUGUAGUGUGCGAGACGGCAGAAACACACAAGCUGGCCCUUCUCUGCCUGCAAGAGACCAAAAUCGAUGAAUGGAGUAGAUCGUUAGUUAGAGAGGUUGGCGGGUGCAGGCUCGCCGAUUGCGUCGUCUUCCCGGUGACUGGCACUCGUGGAGGCGUCGUGAUUUUCUGGGACAAGAGCCGCGUAGACGUGCAAUCCCACGCCAUCGGCCAUUUCUCCAUCACGGCCAAAAUUACCCUAGCGGCAACAGCUUCAUCCUUUUGGAUGACAAUAGUGUAUGGACCCGUCGACGAGGGGAGGAAAGAUGAGUUCCUGGCCGAGCUAGACUGA
Molecule: ribosomal RNA, 372 nt
Filed under: Triticum aestivum (bread wheat)
Lineage: Eukaryota; Viridiplantae; Streptophyta; Magnoliopsida; Poales; Poaceae
Description: partial small subunit ribosomal RNA
Source: RNAcentral